CAUGGGAGGCUGGUAACUUCCCAAGUUCUCCCCCUGACUCUUCGCCUCCUGAUCAUAAUGACGAAACGCAAAGGAAUGAACGCUGUUCGUAUCACGAUAAAGAUCUUACCUACAUACAUGCACAGGCACCUUCCGACUGUAUACAUCCCCAGUCUGAAACUGGUAGCGGUCAGCUCCUCCAGAACAUCACCAAAAAAGGAAAAAAAGAAAAAAAGGCCUGCACGAUGACAAUCGGGUCAACCAGCGGUGAUAAGAAGAAAAAUAAAAAGUUGGCCGUAUUCCUCUCAAUCCCAUCUUCCGACCCACGCCGGAUUUACAAGGAUUGGUAGAAGCAACAAAAUCCACCUCCAAAUUUUUGCCAU
Molecule: small RNA, 362 nt
Filed under: Histoplasma capsulatum var. duboisii H88
Lineage: Eukaryota; Fungi; Ascomycota; Eurotiomycetes; Onygenales; Ajellomycetaceae
Description: Histoplasma capsulatum H88 hypothetical RNA
Source: RNAcentral